This is a long non-coding RNA of Zingiber officinale, 372 nucleotides long. RefSeq lists it as uncharacterized. The record is from RefSeq and is a predicted model, not a curated record. The transcript is spliced from 3 exons. Lineage: Eukaryota; Viridiplantae; Streptophyta; Magnoliopsida; Zingiberales; Zingiberaceae.
GAGAUGGGUGCCUCGGGAUGAGCUCCGUGGAGGGCCCUUCCAAACUUGACUGAUAUUGACUGAUACUGUUAGCUUUGGCUAUAUAACUGCAUGUCUCCUAGAAGGUACCUCUAGGGGCAUGAGACUGAUUGACUGACUCAAAUGGUGGUUACCACAGUGUGUCAUAUUUACCCUUAUUAGUUGGGUUCAUAGACUCAUGAUGCCUACAUUACAAGUGAGGGAGAUGUUUCCCUAGAUAUGAUAGGGGGCAUGUAGAUGGAGUAGACGAGGAGGCGAGAUGGAUGCACGACACACUGUUCAGAUGUCUUAGGAGUGUAGUGAAGAUAAAGGGAAAAGCUAGAUGAGCUAAAGGAGCAGCAGGAGGGGCAACGA